GUACUCUCCAAGCCAUGCGAGAAGUCACACCUAUCUACGAGUCAUUAAAGGUGUGUUCCCAAAACGUUACAUUAAUUUCAUUUGCCCAAAAUCGCAGUUGAGUAAUCAACAAUAACUAUACAGCACGAACAACGAGAUCGCCAACUGGAUAAGGAAAUUAUGCGUAUGUGCCGUGCUCGUAUCUCUCGCACCUCUUGAUACGUACGUUUAUGGUCGUUUGGAGUCAAAGAUAAAGAUAUAUCUUUAAUUACUGCAGUAGAAAAUCUUCACCUGGAAAAAUCAAAAAAACUAGAAUCAUUAACUCAAGAAAUUCUUCAACAUUAUGAUAAAUUGAAAGUUACCACCAACAAUGUUAAUCCAUUAUCUACAGUUUUUCCUUCAAUACCAAAUAUAAAAAAAACCGUUUUUUCUUUGGAAGAUUUAGCAAGAGAAUUGGAAAAAUAUGGAUAUAAAUAUAAAAUAGAAACAUUCCAAAAACAACCAUAUAUUAUGAUGAUGAAAAUCUGUGAAACCAAUGCCAUAAUGAUGGGCAAGGGAGACACCAAAGAGGAAGCAUUAAGAGACUUAUUUGAAAAUGUCAUUCUAAUGUUUGAUAAUGGCUUUUCUCUAAAAACUGAAUUUUGAAAUAGUUUCUGAAGAAAUAUUGUUAUUUAAACAGUUUAUUAUGUAUUAUAUUUAUAAUUGAGUAUUGAUGAUUUAAUAUACAAGUGGAUAGAA
Long non-coding RNA from Anoplophora glabripennis (Asian longhorned beetle), 717 nucleotides. RefSeq lists it as uncharacterized. The transcript is spliced from 3 exons. The record is from RefSeq and is a predicted model, not a curated record. Lineage: Eukaryota; Metazoa; Arthropoda; Insecta; Coleoptera; Cerambycidae.